RNAcentral lists this ribosomal RNA (380 nucleotides) under uncultured Streptococcus sp. Its description in RNAcentral is "bacterial SSU rRNA". It matches the Rfam family "Bacterial small subunit ribosomal RNA", at positions 1000 to 1382 of the family's 1533-position model. Lineage: Bacteria; Bacillati; Bacillota; Bacilli; Lactobacillales; Streptococcaceae. The record is from RNAcentral.
CUAGAGAUAGAAAGUUACUUCGGUACAUCGGUGACAGGUGGUGCAUGGUUGUCGUCAGCUCGUGUCGUGAGAUGUUGGGUUAAGUCCCGCAACGAGCGCAACCCCUAUUGUUAGUUGCCAUCAUUCAGUUGGGCACUCUAGCGAGACUGCCGGUAAUAAACCGGAGGAAGGUGGGAUGACGUCAAAUCAUCAUGCCCCUUGUGACCUGGGCUACACACGUGCUACAAUGGUUGGUACAACGAGUUGCGAGUCGGUGACGGCGAGCUGAUCUCUUAAAGCCAAUCUCAGUUCGGAUUGUAGGCUGCAACUCGCCUACAUGAAGUCGGAAUCGCUAGUAAUCGCGGAUCAGCACGCCCGCGGUCGAAUACGUUCCGGGCCUU